UAUUAGUAGGUCAGCUUUGAA
Non-coding RNA from Caenorhabditis elegans, 21 nucleotides. The record is from Ensembl. NCBI's taxonomy places the organism in Eukaryota, Metazoa, Nematoda, Chromadorea, Rhabditida, Rhabditidae.